Molecule: long non-coding RNA, 9496 nt
Organism: Microtus ochrogaster (prairie vole)
Lineage: Eukaryota; Metazoa; Chordata; Mammalia; Rodentia; Cricetidae
Gene: Xkr4
Exons: 2
Source: RefSeq, a predicted model, not a curated record
GCUUCUCAGCACCCACUUGGUGGCUCAUAACUGCCUGCAACUCCAGUUCCCGGAGCUCCAGUGCCCACUGUUCGUCUCCUCCGGCACUGCACACACAUGGUGCACAGACAUAUAUGCAGGCAAAAUACCCAGACAUGUAAAGUCAAAUUAAAUCUCAAAAAUAAGAGCUUAGGUGAUUUCCUUGAUGCGAAGUUCACAACAGACUCCGGGAAGGAAGCAACAGUGCUUAGAAAGAUGUCAUAAACCAUUUUCUCAUUGGAAGCCAGUAGCAUAUGGUGGUGAAGCCUGUGCAGGGGAUGGCAAACUCAAGUGUUUACACACACACUAGCAUUGAUCGAAUGGUUCUCUUUCUACACAUUUCAGGAUUUGUUUCUUACUCUAGGUUUUGCAGUUGAGGGCAUCUUUUAUGACAGAAAUUCUAUGCAGCCCAUGUGUGGCUUUGGAUGAGACCAAGUAGCUCAAAUCCAUGAUGGAAAUUAAAUUAUAGUCAUGAUUCAGUAUUCAAUUGCAAAAAUACAGUUUAUAUGCAAAGAGCAGUUGGGGGAGGGGCAGGAGGCAAGUCAGAUUCUCAGGUGUGUGCAGUUGGUAUCAGAAUGCACCCACAGAGCCGCAGAAGAGGGAGGGCUGUUUCCAGGUACAGAGUGAGCAUGGCGAGCUGGUGUGAUUCUGGAAACCACGUGCCACGUCCUCCUAGUGUCAAACUGUGUCCAGUCCGCAGAACUGAUAUGGAAUCCCCCAAAACAGAGAAGAAGUGGCAUCCCAAAGCAGACAAGAGAAGAAUCAUCAGGUUGUCCAACUCUAUACAGACUUACCCUCUCCCACUCAAGGUCAAAGUGACGUGUCUCCUUGAGACUUUGGGAAAUCUUUUAGCAGGCGUGAGCACACAGAUGCAGUGUGGAUGCUUUAGGGAGAUGGCCUGGACUGCUUGAGGGCGUACCACUCCAUCAGCUAAGAUGUGUACUCAAAUCAUCUGUAAAGUCUCGCUCUUACCACAAGCUUCUGAGUUUUAAAUACCUCCGUCCAGCAAGUAAACAUUCCCGCUUUCUGUUCUCAGUGUCCUUGGUCAUGGUGCUUUGCGUUGCAUUAAAAGUGCCGGUCAAACUUUGAUAGUAUUUUUUUAUAGUUGGUGCAGAGUGGAAUAACUCAUGGAUUAUUUCAAUAUUUUUGUAAUAAAAAUAUAGGGUGUACAUAUAGGCAUUGUUGCUUUUUUUAUAGACUUGGGAUUAUUUAAAAUACAUUAAAUGUCAUCUUCACUUGGGAUGUCAGAAUCCAGUCAACAGAUUCAUCAGCCUGCCUCAACAGAUUGAAAACACUUGGCCCUGGAGACAUCACCUUCCUUUUUGCAAUUUGACGGCCCAGGAAUCUGACCAGGGUGCUAUCAGAGCAUCAAGUAAAGAAGGAAGUGGCCUAAUUAGAAAGGGCUUGCGAAAACUGAUCAGUGUCUCCCAGGAAAUCAAAGAUGGAAGUGAUUUUGUUCAUCCAUCCAUUAGAACAAUCUGACCACAGUGGAAGAUGUCUUAAACUUUCUUCCCUGGUUUUAUACUAACCCAACUGAUAUAUUAAAGAUUAGUCAAGUCAUCAAAAAUAAAAAAGGAAGAAAGUCAGUUUCAUUUAACUCUUCACUGAAAAUAGUCAAGAUCUAGAGCCACCACCCAUAAUAAAUGAGUCAUCCUAAGACUGUGGUCCCCAAAGUAACAUCCACAGGAAAGGACAGAGGGCUCAAAGCAAUUUUUUAAGACAGACAGUUUUUAUCAGACAAAUUUCCUAAUACUCAAUGAUUUGACCCUUCAAGCAAGAUUUCCACUACAAUUCACUAAUCUUUUGUUGGAAUGGAGAAAAUUCCCUUGCUGCCAGUAAAGCUUCAAGGAGGACCCUCAUUGUCUAGGCAAAUGGUGGGCAUUAUCCUGUUCCAGUGUAGAAGGAAAUCACGAUCAAUUUGGGCAGUUCUCCGCCGGUGUGCAGAACCAUGCGCUAUCAACUUCAUUAGUUCCAAGACAACUUUUCACUGAUGAGCUUUGGAGUCUGCCUUUCCCAAGGGAUCUACAGCUCUGAUUGUGAGUGAACAGCCAUUAAUGUCACCAUAGUGACCAGCCAAACAAGCCAAUGGGAGCACCCGCUCUUGGAUCACAAACACCUUGGAACUUGUCAAGUUUUACUGGAGAUGAAUUGCAGUUCAUUAAUCUAACAGACACUUAAACCUUGGAAAUUCUUGACUUGUACUAUUAUAAUCAAACUACUAGGAGAGAACACGAAUCAGCAGAUGGCAGAGGGCCACUUGUUCAGUGCUGUGCCCUGACGUGUCCACGCCUGAAGAGAACAACCUCUGAGAAGCAGAGCUGAGGAAAUCGUGCUACCUGGUCUCUCACCACAAAUGCCGUCAGUGUCCAUGGUAUCCAUCCUCUUUCUUUACCUUUUCUAGUAAGAACUGCUUUAAAAAAAAAAUAAGCCAAGGAAUUCCUGGGGGCUUGUAUAGCUCAGAGAGAUGGGUAUGGGUCAAAGGGACUUGCUUCAAGGGGAUGGAAACCCACUUGGAAAUGAAAAGAGUCUGUUAUCUUUUAAUAAGUGAUCUUGAGUACCAUCGCUGCUUUUGGUUUGUUCCAUGUCAGCAUGAUAAUAACCAAUGUGUAAAGCUUUCGUUGAUAAUUCAGUUUCAGAGGUGAAAUCUGCAGUUUGAACUUAAAGGGGUAGUUACAGAGUAAUUUGAUGCCUGCCUUCCUAAGUGGUAACAUUAUCAGUUCCAAGCCAGUAUCCAUUUCAACAAGGAAUCAACUAGCCUAUGGCUUCUCAGAUCACAUACAAUCUCGGUUAUGACCUGAAAGGUGACCAACCAAAUGGCAUUAAUGCCAACAUUUUCAUUUACAAGAAGACAGGAGGACAAAGAAUUUACAACUGUGAUUUCUUUCAUUUCUCUUUUUCAAAUAAAGGUGAAAAUGAAGUUGUCAGAGUUCAGUUAUAGAGUAUGCGAGAGUGUGAUGUGCGUGUGGCCUUAAUUAAAUUUUCCUUAUACUCUUUUGGCUUCGGUUUUAGAAGGUAGAUCUAGAUAAAAGAGUAAAAGUCGUCAAGUGUGUCCAUUAAGCGCUUUGGAAGAAGAAGAUGGAGUACGGAUCGCUGUGUCCCCAUAGGAGCACUUUGGUGGCUCUAGCAGGAUGUUCCCAGAGCUUCUGAGAGCACUCCUAGGAAUCCAUGCUGGUACCCAGGCAAGUUAUUUUGAGAGUGAUCUCUGGAUGUAACCAUUAAAAUUGAAUGGUAGAAAGGUAACCUUCACAGGUUAGUAUGCUGAAAUAUGUUUGUUUUCUAACCCUACACCCUCCUGUGGGAUGUACCAUGAACUGGUUAACUGUGGGGACAUAGGAACAAUAACAGUGCUCCCUAAUAAGGCUCAGGAGUACCUGUGACCAUAAUAGUGUUGGGUACCAGGAUAGAAGGUUUCUAACAAGGUACAGAGCCAAGAAAAACCUGUCCAUCUCUUGUUAGGAACACUUAAGUUUUUUUUUAAAAGUAGCCACGUAAACUAAUUUCUGCCAUUCUGUAAUUAUGGCAAUGCACAUGUCCUCUUAUAAAGGAACAAGGCCUGGCUAAUGUGGGAAGAUGGAAGUCAUAUAGGAAGCUCCAUUUCAAGACUGGCUUUUUCUAAGAAAACCUUAGCUCUGGUGGUUUUCCUUGAUUAGUGAUCCUGUAAUGCUCUGUACAUCAAGAGCUGCUGGUGAAUAAUAAAACAAGAGAUUAUAAAUCACCCUUACUUAUUAUACAUAAAGUAUUUAAUUAUCCCUCUGUUAAUAACAAUGAGAUUCAGGGUUACCACGGCCUUACUCAUCAUCCCAUUGUAAAUAUGUCAGUCACAACAGGUCUGUGUUCAAACACACACAACCCAGUUCAGCCAGUAUCAUCCUUCUCGCAACACAGUUUGGAUCUUGAGUCCAUCAGUCAGCCACCUGAUCUGUGCACCUAUUCCGGGACUCCUAAGUCUGUGCAAGUCAUAUUCAGAACAACAGAAGAAAACAAAAGGACAGUUAUGCAAUUUUCCCACCGAGACAAAAUACACUAGACUGUUGAUCACCCCAAAGGUCUGACUGUUCCUCAUGACUGGCUUCUUUGAAUUUUCCAGAUGAUUACCGAGCAAUUUUCACCAAACCAAAGUAGACACUGUAGCAUUCUUUAAAAGUAAAGACUGUCCACCUGAAUGCAAAUACCCCUAGGAGUAAUCAAGAAGUCGGCCGCUCAAGCAGCACCUAUGGUUUUGUCGUGGCAUGUAUCUGGAAACUCUCUGCCAGAGUCCAGGAGUUCCAAGCCUAUGGUUUCCCAUCCUGUUGUCUGGCGUGCACACAGACAAACUGCUCAGGUGUGGCUGGUGGAACUUAACUUUCUGGCGUAGGAAUCUUUUGUUGGAGACAUUCUGCUGCUAACGGUUCUCUUUGCUGUGCAAAGAGAAAUAAAUCGUGCGGAGCAAUUGUGGUCUACUUUUAUUUUCUUUCUGAAAGCGUGUGGGUGGAAGGGGUCGGGUGGCUAAACACAACUGAGUGAGGACCUCCUGAACAUGGCUGCUCUUCGAGGCCUUGCAGCAGCUUUCCUACACAAGGAAACUUCUUUUAGCCUUUGCUAGAAUUAUGUUUUAUUAUUUUAUCAUUAUUCUGCUCUUUGUAAAUCUUAAACAUUUACAAAAUCUACCAAACAGAAUGGUUUAAGGAAAAUACAAAAUUUUUAACUUUUUAUUGUUCAAAUACAACUUUUUAUUUUACGUGUCACUUAUAAUUUCUUAAAGCUAAAAUCGUUUAAAUUGUUUGAUAGAAUUACUUCAUGGUGAAUGUUAUGACUACAGUUGUAGGAGAAAGGCUUUUUUCCCCAAAUCAAACAAGUUGUCUAACAUUGGGAUUCGGUUUGCUGAUGUCAUUCCAGUUCACAAGUAAUCGCUGCUUACUGUGAAUAUUGUAACGUGAGGGUUUCCCUAGUUAAUCCCUGCCACGUUUCUCCAGGAGCGGGGAAACAGACAUGCUGACCGCGAAGGAAAGCCGCCUUCCAGAAGGAGGGCUUCGGGCCCUAACACUGACCCAGGUGUGUUGAUUCCUGGUAACUUGGGGAAUUGAUCCCGCUCCUUCUGAGCUGCUGGGUGGUGAAGAUGCGAAUGUCCUUAAGUCGAGUGAUGUUUGGCAGCAAAACACACAACCUGUCCGACCUAUUUCCCUUUAAGAGCUCUUCAGCGGCUCAGUGUACUCUGGGGCCCUUGUUGUAGGUGAAAAAAAUCUUGAAGAGGAAUUUGGUUAUGAAAACAUCUUGAAAGAUUUCCAAAGACAGAGCAAAGGUUCCCAAGGACCCAGGGAGGGUUUUGAUUGUGUGAAACCCUACGUUCAGAGUCAAGAAUAACAUCAUGAGCAGAUGACAAAAUUUCUUCUUGAGUCUCUCCUUUCUUUAGGUUUAGAACACCUAAACCUCACCACUAAGCCAUGUUUGUCCACUGCUACUUGGCUGUUUUGUACCCUACCCUGAACACAGCUGUGGCCACAGCUGAGGUGCCCACAACCCCCACCGCCCAAACACUGCUUACAUGCACCCUGAAGGUUUUGGCUUUCCUUUUCCUCUUGGGAUUUUAAGUCAUCCGUCUCUGCACCUGUGUUACAGGUGAUUUUACAACAAAAAAGGAGCAAUUGAUUGGAAGUUGCACACAGAAAAGCAGUUUCCCUUAUGGUCUUUGAUUAUGAGGAGAUUGAUGUGAAAUUUAUAAUUUAGUUGAAAAGCAGAAAUCCCUGUGUUGAACAUUGUGACUGUUUUACACAUGUUUAAAGAUAUUAAAUGAAACAAUAUCUUUUUACACUAUGGCGUGUAUUCCAUUCUGGGUUCAGGCAUGAGGGCUUGUGGCAGAGACAGGAGUAAAGAAACCAGGAAUCUGUCCACACCUGGGUCCUGACCCCUACUCUAGCCCUUUACCUCAACACUUACUUUGGCCUCAUUGAUCCCAUAUAAAAGAGUGAGGUUAUUUGUUUACCUACCUCAUAGGGCGUUUUAAAGACUGCAAGAGCUGGCAAAGACUUGGGUUAGAGAGUACCACGCCUCUCGCUAAGUAGCAGGAGCGUGGAGAACCGUGUGCGCCACAGAGCUAAGAAGAGUGGGUACCGCAAUUGUCUGAGAAAUAACAGCUGUUCCAGUUAACACAAGAAACUUUUCCCUUAGAGGUCUAGGUAGAAAUUACAAGCCUUUAAUGAGAACAAGCAGCUUUCAUAUAGACCUGGAGUGUCUCCAGGUAGAUAGACCUCUUUCUUCUUAAUCACAUCGAAUUGUACUAAGUGUUCAUAAAUACAUCUAGAAAACCUGGCCCUUUCUGAUACCUCAGGAGUUGCAUGGCCGCCCCCAUUUUUUUAGAACCAGGUACAGUCUAAUGCAGUACUGGUGAUGCCAACUGAACUUCUAGAACCGAGUCCUGGAUGGCUAUAUUAUUAAGAUUUGAUUUGGAAUGAUUUAUCUGGGUUUGUGUUUCAUUCCUAACACCUUUGCCACAGAAGAAUGUGGAGCCCCCUUCCUGUUUAGAACUCUUGAGCUGAUUUGGCUUCACGUUAGAAAUGUAUUUCAAACAUUUCAGAGAAGUGCUUGUACAAUAGUUUCAGCAAUAUAUUGAAAUGAGUGGACCUGCAUAAAUGCAAUACACAGAAGUGAGUCCUAUGAAAGAUUUAAAAAGGCAGGAAGAUGUAGGAAAAACAGCCCCGGUGAAAUCCUGGACACCUCUACCAAAGCAAUGUGUCCCCUUGCUUUAAAGACUAAACAUAACCAGAACUAAAUGUAUAUAAUAUGAGUUGGGGCUAUAAACAUUUGCAAGUUUUGAGUCAUAGGGGCAAUACUGUGAAGUAAGAAUAUACCCAUGGAACUAUGCUAGAAAAUGGGGGUAAUAUUUUAAGGAUGUGGCUCCUUUGGGUACCCUUGUUUAACAAUUAUACUCAUCUACAAAAUAAAUUUUAUAGUCUUAAAAAUUGAAAUAGUUUCCAAAUUUUCCCUUGAGGAAUGAAUUCAAAAUCAUACUGCACUUGAAUUACAUACUAUGUUGACAUCCGAUAUAAUCUCUUCUGGACUCUAAAAUUUAUUUUCCAUUGGACUUAAUCAAAGAUUUAAAUUUUCAAAUUGGUUAAACAUUUCUAAUGCAUGACAUUAGGCUUUCUGCAGCACGAUCAUAUCAUAGAAAAUUGUGUGACACCUUCAAACUAUCUGCACUGCCAGAAAAAUCUGUUAGCACAGACUGGUCACGUAAGCACCAGGCAUGAGUCAAAGGUAAUUUGAAUAUUCCUCAAUUUCUAUCCCCUUCCGAUAUCAAUAUUUUUCUACCCAAAAUGCAAAAGUGUAUCCUUUCUAUCAUGAAACUAAGGAUCAGUUUUUAUUCAGUUUUAUACAGAAACCUGAAGUCAACUAUUCGGUUGAAUUUCAGGUGGGUUUUCUGGGAUUAGCAGGAGGCACUGCAGAGAACAUGCGACAGAGAGGUUUUAUCACCAAGUGCAACACAGAACCUAAGCAUGCCAGGGCUGGACAGCUCUGGGAAGCAAUGGCUUAGGGUUUUCACCAGCAGAGAAAAGCACAGUGCCAACAACGCGUCCUUUAGCACAGAUGCAUGUGAUUACUCACUCCAGGCCCAUCAUUCGGCGAGUGCCACAUAUCUGAUUGUUUCUAAGUACAACUGCCAAGUUCUAUGGCUGCAUCUGGCUAACAUUCUUUUCAAUGAACAAGUGAUAAACCCAGGCACACAGAGAUAAAUUCUCGUCUGCUUAAAAGAAAAAUCUCCCAGUUUAUUUAUAUCAACUAUAUCACUAAUAUAUUAACUUCACAAAGCUUUCUCAUCCACUCUUUGGUCAACUGUUUAUUUGAGCCUCGCUUUCUCUCAUCAGUGGGGCAAAAUGGAAGAGGACAUGGUUGACCUGAAUGGGAAUCUUGCUUCUGAUAAAGAGAGAGAGAGAGAGAGAGAGAGAGAGAGAGAGAGAGAGAGAGAGAGAGAAAUCCUGCUUUUCUUCUCCAUAGCCAGGUAGCUCAGUAGCCUCAAAAGGACCCGGUGAUAGAUGGGAAUAUGGCUUCUGUUCUCAGAAGGAAGAGAGUCAAUAGGAAACCAAGAUGUCUUUCCUCUUUGAAGCCAAGCACUACCCUGAAUUUAGAGCUAAUGUGAGAGAAUACUGUCUCUCCUUUUGGUUACCAUUCUCUCUCAUUCUUUUGCAGUUAGGGUUGGAAUUUCCAGUAAUGAUAAAUAAUGUUACUUUGUAUGAUGACUUCAGUGUAUGUAUUGUGAAAGAGUUAGCUACAGAAGACUGGGAAGCUUGCUUCCUCUGUAUUUCCAUCCAAGCAAGGGCUUGGGAAAGCACCAGUCACGCUGACAGUCUGGACGAACCAAGGGUAUCCGUGAGGACAACCGUUUUGCUGUGUAUGAAGCCAUCGUACAAGGUGAACCUGCUUCCAAAUGACAAGGGUUUGGACUGCUGACACAGGCUCUUCAUUCGCUCAUGAUUUUAUCCUGUAAGUUUCACAUGUAACUACCUCAGCUACUGGUGUCUGAUUUAGAAACACCGUUCACUUCGCCAUUAUUAAAUUAUUUCAUGGAAAAUAUCAAAAUGUUAUUUGGUGUGAAGCAAUUUUCAGAAGUUUUAAGAAGGCAUAAACAGCUCGACAUCCGCCAGUUCUACUGUUUUUGGUUUCUUUCUAAGCAUAGUUUGGAAUUAAAAAUAAAAACCACUUCCACCCAGCAUAAAGAGAGGUUGUAUAUAUUUACUUAAUUUGCCUUAAAUAUGUUGUGGGUUUUUUCCUCUGUCCAUUUAUUUUUUCUAAAUUUAUCUCUGAAAAAAAAACCCAAUGCUGGUAGAUGAAGAACGACCUGAAGAGAACAGACACUGGGUUCUCAGCUCCCAACUUCAGCUUACAUAGUAUUCUGAUCCACAGUGGCCAUUUUUGUGUUUCUCUCUCCAUUUCAGAAAUAAGGUGUGUGCAGGCAACGUGAAGACACUUCCCCUGGACAGCGCGGUGCCUGGCCUCGGGUGCAAACCUGCCGGUCCUGUGCUCUUACUUUGUAAACACUGUACAAAUGUAUUUGGAAUUUUAUUUGGAAAACAAAAAAAAAGAGUUAAAUGAGUUAUUAAAUUCCUUCCUGUAAAUAUAUAUAGAGAGAUAUACAUAUUCCAACCCCGCAUAGCCAGACAUUCCUUUAGCAUUCCGAUUGUACAUGUGUCUUUCUCGGCAGGAGCUGCUGCCCUGGGCAGUGGCCCCGAGUGCCCUAGCUCAAAGCACAGUGCGUGGAGUAUUUGAUCUACUGCGGUACUAUAGUUAUUUUGGUCAGUUAAGCAAGUUGCAAUUUGUGAUGACAUGAAGUGGAAAGUAGUGCUUCAUAAUGAAUAAAUCUCCUGGGUUAUCUGAUUUUUUUUUCUUGUAAAACUUUAAAAAAAAAAAGAAAACUUGAAAUUUUAUAUAUUUGGAUUUUGUAGAUUUUUUUUAUUUUAUUGCAACACAAGGUACCAAAAUCAUUAAAUAAAGUACACUGUGGUCAUUU